This 445-nucleotide ribosomal RNA is filed under the name Cryptosporidium canis. Its description in RNAcentral is "SSU rRNA". It matches the Rfam family "Eukaryotic small subunit ribosomal RNA", at positions 572 to 1049 of the family's 1831-position model. Lineage: Eukaryota; Apicomplexa; Conoidasida; Eucoccidiorida; Cryptosporidiidae. The record is from RNAcentral.
AGCCGCGGUAAUUCCAGCUCCAAUAGCGUAUAUUAAAGUUGUUGCAGUUAAUAAGCUCGUAGUUGGAUUUCUGUUAAUAAUUUAUAUAUAAUAUUUAACAUAUUUAUAUAAUAUUAACAUAAUUCAUAUUACUAUAUAUAGUAUAUGAAACUUUACUUUGAGAAAAUUAGAGUGCUUAAAGCAGGCUUUUGCCUUGAAUACUAGAGCAUGGAAUAAUAUUAAAGAUUUUUAUCUUUCUUAUUGGUUCUAAGAUAGAAAUAAUGAUUAAUAGGGACAGUUGGGGGCAUUUGUAUUUAACAGUUAGAGGUGAAAUUCUUAGAUUUGUUAAAGACAAACUAAUGCGAAAGCAUUUGCCAAGGAUGUUUUCAUUAAUCAAGGACGAAAGUUAGGCGAUCGAAGACGAUCAGAUACCGUCGUAGUCUUAACCAUAAACCAUGCCAACUAG